CCCUUUUAAAUAUAAACAGUAAACACCCCUUUUUAGGCCUAGAGUCUUAGUGGCUUGUAACAAGCAGGAUGUUGGGCUUGUCAAAGGAUCUAAGGUUAUCCAGAGCCUGCUUGAGAAAGAAAUCUCUGCGCUUCGUGUCUCACAAUCCAACAGAUUGGAAGGACUGGAUGGUGAGUCUGUGGAUCAUAUUUAUCUGGGAAAGCCUGGAAAGGAUUUCAGUUUUUCAGGAAUGU
Molecule: long non-coding RNA, 233 nt
Organism: Eurytemora carolleeae
Lineage: Eukaryota; Metazoa; Arthropoda; Copepoda; Calanoida; Temoridae
Exons: 3
Source: RefSeq, a predicted model, not a curated record